UACGUAGGGUGCGAGCGUUGUUCGGAAUUACUGGGCGUAAAGCGCGUGUAGGCGGCUCUGCAAGUCGGGUGUGAAAUCCCACGGCUCAACCAUGGAAGUGCACUCGAAACUGCAGGGCUAGAGUCCUGGAGAGGAAGGUGGAAUGCUUGGUGUAGAGGUGAAAUUCGUAGAUAUCAAGCGGAACACCGGUGGCGAAGGCGGCCUUCUGGACAGUGACUGACGCUGAGACGCGAAAGCGUGGGGAGCAAACAGG
RNAcentral lists this ribosomal RNA (253 nucleotides) under uncultured bacterium. RNAcentral's name for it is "partial 16S ribosomal RNA". It matches the Rfam family "Bacterial small subunit ribosomal RNA", at positions 524 to 776 of the family's 1533-position model. The record is from RNAcentral.